UCGGGAAUUUUGGGCAAUGGGCGAAAGCCUGACCCAGCAACGCCGCGUGAAGGAUGAAGUAUUUCGGUAUGUAAACUUCGAAAGAAUAGGAAGAAUAAAUGACGGUACUAUUUAUAAGCUCCGGCUAACUACGUGCCAGCAGCCGCGGUAAUACGUAGGGAGCAAGCGUUGUUCGGAUUUACUGGGCGUAAAGGGCGCGUAGGCGGCGCGGUAAGUCACUUGUGAAAUCUCUGAGCUUAACUCAGAACGGCCAAGUGAUACUGCAGUGCUAGAGUGCAGAAAGGGCAAUCGGAAUUCUUGGUGUAGCGGUGAAAUGCGUAGAUAUCAAGAGGAACACCUGAGGCGAAGGCGGGUUGCUAGGCUGACACUGACGCUGAUGCGCGAAAGCCAGGGGAGCAAA
Molecule: ribosomal RNA, 400 nt
Filed under: uncultured bacterium
Lineage: Bacteria
Description: bacterial SSU rRNA
Rfam family: Bacterial small subunit ribosomal RNA
Source: RNAcentral